This 4780-nucleotide small RNA is filed under the name Pan troglodytes (chimpanzee). Its description in RNAcentral is "retained intron". The record is from RNAcentral. Lineage: Eukaryota; Metazoa; Chordata; Mammalia; Primates; Hominidae.
GAGUUCUAUAAAUUACAUUCCUGUUUUUGGACUGAGAUAUACCAAGUACAAAAUACAUCUGAGUAUUUCUUAAGAUAACAGGAUUGAAGUAUAUCUCUGGGGAAGAAAAUUCACCUUGCUUUUAAAUGCCAUUUAAAAAUUAUUUCUGUCAUAUAAAUUAUCUUAUUGUUGGCCAUGCACAGUGGCUCACACGUGUAAUCCCAACACUUUGGGAGGCCAAGGCGGGCGGACUGGUUGAGCUCAGGAGUUCAAGCCCAGACUGGGUAGCAUGGUGAAACCUCAUCUCUACAAAAAAUAUAAAAAUUAGCUGGGCGUGGUAGUACAUCUGUAGCCCCAGCUUCUUGGGAGGCUGAGGUAGGAGGAUCACCUGAGCCUGGGGAGGUCAAGGCUGCGGUGAGCUGUGAUCAUGAUACUGCACUCUAGUCUGGGUGACAGAGUGAGACCCUGUCUCAAAAAAUAAAAAUAAACAAAUUCUCUUAUUAUUAAACUACUUUGAAGCCUAAAAAUUUUUUUAAAUGUUUAUUUAUAAAUUUUGCUACAAUGUAAUUUCUACAUUACUUUAAUGUCAUAAGAAAAAUUAGAUGUAUAGGUAAUGUAAUUUUUCUCCUAUUUCCCUAUAGCAAGUACAGAUGAAGCUCAGGUUCCCCAAGGAAAUAUUGACCAGGUUGCUGUUGUGGCCAUCAAUGUUCUGUUUUUUGUGGCUCUAUUUAUCUUUGCCCUUUUUGAAACCAUCAUUACUCCAUUAACAAUGGAUAUGUAUGCCUGGACUCAAGAACAAGCUGUGUUAUAUAAUGGCAUAAUACUUGCUGCUCUUGGGGUUGAAGCUGUUGUUAUUUUCUUAGGAGUUAAGUUGCUUUCCAAAAAGAUUGGCGAGCGUGCUAUUCUACUGGGAGGACUCAUCGUUGUAUGGGUUGGCUUCUUUAUCUUGUUACCUUGGGGAAAUCAAUUUCCCAAAAUACAGUGGGAAGAUUUGCACAAUAAUUCAAUCCCUAAUACCACAUUUGGGGAAAUUAUUAUUGGUCUUUGGAAGUCUCCAAUGGAAGAUGACAAUGAAAGACCAACUGGUUGCUCGAUUGAACAAGCCUGGUGCCUCUACACCCCAGUGAUUCAUCUGGCCCAGUUCCUUACAUCAGUUGUGCUAAUAGGAUUAGGCUAUCCAGUCUGCAAUCUUAUGUCCUAUACUCUAUAUUCAAAAAUUCUAGGACCAAAACCUCAGGUAAGCCAGGUACCCUGACAUUGCAAUUAUAGAAAAUAUACUUGUAAGCACUCACAUUUUUUGCUGCCAUUCUCUAUUUUUACACAGACUGAUUUGAGGGAUUUUUAUCAUAUUCAGCAUUUAAAAUUUUUAAAAAUCCCACAACUUCUAAAAAGUUCAUUCUUGGGUAGGUUAUGUGGGUUAUAGUUUUGGAUACAGAAGUUGUAGGAGUGGCAUUGUGGUAGAGUGUAAAGUGGCACAGUGGAGUCAGCCAAAUAUGGCUUCAAACUUCUUGAACAAGUUACUUAAACUUUCUGAGUUUCAGCUUCUACCUUUGCUAAACGGGCAUAACACCUGUCAUCGAAACUUGUGAACAUUACAAAUGAUGUAUGUAAAGCACCUACCUCAGUGACUGGCAUGUAGCAGGUACAAAAUAAAUGUUAGCUUUAAAAGGUAUUUUAAUCAAUUUUAUUAUUCCCAGGGCUUCAGCAGACAUUAAGUUUUUCCCUUUACACUCCUUUUAUUUUUUUUAAUCUGACUUAAUAUCAAAUGCUAUAUUUAUAGGAGGCAUUUUAUGUUUAAUUUAAAAGUAAAAGAUGCAGAAACGAUUCUUGUAAGUUUGCUGUAGUUUGGUAAUACCAUUUCUUUGUUUUUAAAUAACUAAACCCCAAUAUCAAUCUGCUUGUCCUCCAUUUCACCCCCAACAGGGUGUAUACAUGGGCUGGUUAACAGCAUCUGGAAGUGGAGCCCGGAUUCUUGGGCCUAUGUUCAUCAGCCAAGUGUAUGCUCACUGGGGACCACGAUGGGCAUUCAGCCUGGUGUGUGGAAUAAUAGUGCUCACCAUCACCCUCCUGGGAGUGGUUUACAAAAGACUCAUUGCUCUUUCUGUAAGAUAUGGGAGGAUUCAGGAAUAAACUAGCUAAGACUGUGAUGGAAACUACUUGCUGUGUGGCACUUCCUGGUCUAAAGCUCUGCUAGACAAUUGCGGUGAGCCAGUCUCCAAGAAUCAGACUACAGAUAUUGCAGAUUUUGAAGAACAAGAACAUAUGUUGAAUAACAGAGAGAAUUCUACAUGUCAUUGUGAAUAGUAGGUUAUAUAAAAACAUACUAGAUGAUAAUUUCCUUACCUCAGAAAUGAAAUAUUAUUCUUAUAAUACCUUUUUAUGGUUGCAUGAACUAAUGAGUGAAUGGACAAUGAUGAAUAAAUGUGAAGCUGUAUUCUUAAUACCCACUGCAGAAGUGUCAUUAAAAUAAUAUACAGUGGAACCAGAAAGAGGGUUCUGUAAGAAUUAGCCAUAGCAGAACAAAAUUAUAGAAUUUUAAAUACCUCUACCCAAGUAGAGGUAUUUUUAUUCAGACACCUACUUUUUAUUUAUUAAAAAAUGCAUUUUCUAUUAUCAAGUUCACUUAUGAAAUAAAAAUUAUAACACAUAUUUUCCAUUUAGCAUGCCUAACAUCCUACCUUGCCUUCUAUGAGUCUUUCUUCUAAUACUACACCUCUGCCUUAUUUUAGUUCAGGGUUUCACUAAGUAACCCCUACAUUAAUAAAUGAGUAUGAAUAAUGCUAAUAUUUGAGCAAUACAGAGGAUUAAGAGAUCAAGAUACUUCACUGCCUAUUAGCCUAAUAGGGAUACCUACUUUCUUUCAAAUGCCAAUAAUUCACAUUAGAAACAUAAUCCAGAUAUGUGUUAUUUUAUAUAUAUAUAUAUACAAAACAGUAAAUGGUUUCUUAAAAUUAUUGCUAUUUUUCAACCCCCUUAAACUGGAGAAAAACAUUUAAUUAGUAAAACAUUAAUUAAUUUACUUUAAUUUUUCCCAUCUCUCAGUAGUGGCGGGGAGGAACACAACAGUUUUCAAUCUAUGUCUGCAUAGUUGUAUAGAGCUGCAGAAUUUUAGUUGGAUUUUUAAUUUGGAUGAUCCCUGACAGCCCCAACCUAGUCAGGCUAAUAAGUAUUUGAGGCAAAAUGGCUUUAAUCUAACAAUUUACUGAGUUUACCUGAAGUUGGCUAAAUAACACUGUAUGUUUAACUUCUACCUCUACAUAAGUUGAAUGCUGAUAAAAGGAACUAGUAGAUAACUAUGUAUAUUGAUAAGCACUGUUACAGAAAAUGCAAAAAUAUUUCUAAACACUUUUCCAAAUGUUUUCUACUUUAAGUUAGAAAUAGUUUCAAAUCUGAGAAUAAACACUAUAUAAUCUGCACUUUAUAGGUUGGGUGCAGUGUCUCAUGCCUGUAAUCCCAGCACUUUGGAAGGCCAAGGCAGGAGGAUUGCUUGAGGCCAGGAAUUCAAGACCAGCCUGGGAAACAAAGUGAGACCCUGUCUUUACAAAAAAUAAAAACAAAAAUUUAAAACUGUAUAAUCUGCACUUUAUGCUAAACUAGCUGUGCUCUUAAACUCAAUUUUUUCAGCUCUAAUAAAGGGCUUAAUUUGAUAGAAUUAUUCUACGAUUAAAUUUUGAAGACUGUUUUCACUCUCCUCUGCCGCCCAUAGCAAGACUGCUUCCAUAGAUUUCUCAGAACCGUAGCCAGUUCUGGCUAUUUGGUCAAGUCUGGGAUCCCUCUUACCUGCUAUUCUGCAGCUGCUUUCUCUGUCUUACAUCUUUUGGGCCACGUCUAAUCUUAAAGAGUAAACUCUACCCUUGGUUUGCAUAGUGUUCGUGACAAAAAUAACAAGAAUAAUGGUAAUGAUGAAAAUGAUAAGAGCAAAAUUUGUGGAGUGCUUUCCACAUUCCAGGUAAUGUGUAACAUACAAUUUAAUUCUUACAGCAGUCUUACGGAGUGAAAAUACUAUUAUGAUUCCCGUUUUACAGAUGAAAGAAUGGAGGCACAGAAAAGUUACUUGUCUAAGUAACAGUCUAUCCUUAAAGUCCACAGUCUUAACCACUUGAUUUUUCAUAGUGAGGAAAAUAUCCCAGAAAGUUGCAGUUUCAAUUAAUUACUAAUUGUAGGGUAAUUUAACUAUACCAAUGACUCCUACUAGCAGAAAUAUUUGGGCAACAUAAGCCCACUGACUGGAGCUUUUGUCUUAGCAUAAUAACCUGUUUCCAGCAAGAAUAUAACAGAAAAGUUUCCCAGCUUUCAAAAGUUUAUAAUAUUGAUUAAAAUUUAGAUAAACUUAACCUUACACAAAUGACUCUUACUUUCCUUUUUAUUGAGAGCAUUUUCUUUGGAGCAUUUUCUUCUUUGGAGGAUUAUACCUUGCUCAUUUAGGCACAAAAGAAGGCGAAAGGAAGUAACAUGGGAUUGGGAAAAGAGCAAGGAGAUAAAGUUUGAGGAAAAAAAAUCACCAUGUUGAUGUCUUCUUGAGUAGGCCAAGUUGCAUAUAAAGAGAAAAUGACAACAGGAGAUUUUAAGGUAUGAUAUAUUGUUAAGAGUAGUACAUAUUUAAGAAGAGAAAAUAUGUUUUUGAAAACAAAUUUAAACUUGAAAGGAUGAUUUUCAUAUUUUGAAGGGAUUUAUAACUUCACAAAGCAUCUCCAUUCUAUCUUGUUCAGCUUUACAUUUAAAAAUAAACUCUUCUUGUUCAUAUAAACCUUAUCUCUUACAUAAAGUGAAAUCUGUUAAUUUUUUGUUUUGACAAGGAUAA